This 19-nucleotide small nuclear RNA is filed under the name Arabidopsis thaliana (thale cress). Its description in RNAcentral is "snRNA_11835". The record is from RNAcentral. Lineage: Eukaryota; Viridiplantae; Streptophyta; Magnoliopsida; Brassicales; Brassicaceae.
AUUCUCAAACUUUAAAUAG